GGGUUGUGAGGUUAAGCGACCAAGCGUACACGGUGGAUGCCCUGGCAGUCAGAGGCGAUGAAGGACGUGCUAAUCUGCGAAAAGCGCCGGUAAGGUGAUAUGAACCGUUAUAGCCGGCGAUGUCCGAAUGGGGAAACCCAGUGUGACUCGUCACACUAUCAUUAACUGAAUCCAUAGGUUAAUGAGGCGAACCGGGGGAACUGAAACAUCUAAGUACCCCGAGGAAAAGAAAUCAACCGAGAUUCCCCCAGUAGCGGCGAGCGAACGGGGAGGAGCCCAGAGCCUGAAUCAGCAUGUGUGUUAGUGGAAGCGUCUGGAAAGGCGCGCGAUACAGGGUGACAGCCCCGUACACAAAAGCGCAUGUGCUGUGAGCUCGAUGAGUAGGGCGGGACACGUGGUAUCCUGUCUGAAUAUGGGGGGACCAUCCUCCAAGGCUAAAUACUCCUGACUGACCGAUAGUGAACCAGUACCGUGAGGGAAAGGCGAAAAGAACCCCGGCGAGGGGAGUGAAACAGAACCUGAAACCGUGUACGUACAAGCAGUGGGAGCCCCACCACUAAGCCAGUGGUGAACUCCGCAUACGCAUCCUUUGCUGAGGAUACGGUUAACGGAGCGAGAGCGACGUUUAACCGCAAAAGAAGCAGAGGGGGCUUAGUGGUGGGGUGACUGCGUACCUUUUGUAUAAUGGGUCAGCGACUUAUAUUCUGUAGCAAGGUUAACCGCAUAGGGGAGCCGGAGGGAAACCGAGUCUUAAC
RNAcentral lists this ribosomal RNA (755 nucleotides) under Salmonella enterica. RNAcentral describes it as "partial 23S ribosomal RNA". It matches the Rfam family "Bacterial large subunit ribosomal RNA", at positions 1 to 688 of the family's 2925-position model. The record is from RNAcentral. Lineage: Bacteria; Pseudomonadati; Pseudomonadota; Gammaproteobacteria; Enterobacterales; Enterobacteriaceae.